Molecule: long non-coding RNA, 128 nt
Organism: Poecilia latipinna (sailfin molly)
Lineage: Eukaryota; Metazoa; Chordata; Actinopteri; Cyprinodontiformes; Poeciliidae
Exons: 3
Source: RefSeq, a predicted model, not a curated record
AAAGGAACUCUGUUUCUGCGUAUUUGCAAGUUUUCUGGAAGUUUGUUCCAGAUUUUGGAGCACAGAAGUUAAAUGCUGCGUCUCCAUGCUUGGUUCUGCUUCUGUUGAUGCAGAGCAGAACAAGAAGA